AUAAGGUUUGAGCUUCUUCCCUGUCUACAACUGCUGUGGUUGACCACUGCAAUUCUUUGGAGGACAGAUACCAGGAGGGUGUCUUGUCCCCUCUGCACCAAGCCAGGACAACAGAAUUGUUACAUAACCUGAAAUGCGGGAGAUGAAUGUGAAGACACUUGAAGGGGCCAUUCACACCUCACAGGAGAACAUCACCACACAAAUAUCUACAUGGCCUCCCGGAUUAGAACCGGAACUAAAUUUUUGCAA
Long non-coding RNA from Carassius auratus (goldfish), 249 nucleotides. RefSeq lists it as uncharacterized. The transcript is spliced from 2 exons. The record is from RefSeq and is a predicted model, not a curated record. Lineage: Eukaryota; Metazoa; Chordata; Actinopteri; Cypriniformes; Cyprinidae.